ACUACGGGUGGCAGCAGUGGGGGAUAUUGCACAAUGGGGGGAACCCUGAUGCAGCGACGCCGCGUGGGUGAAGAAGCGCCUCGGCGCGUAAAGCCCUUUCAGCAGGGAAGAAAAUGACGGUACCUGAAGAAGAAGCCCCGGCUAACUACGUGCCAGCAGCCGCGGUAAUACGUAGGGGGCAAGCGUUAUCCGGAUUUACUGGGUGUAAAUGGGGCGGAGACGGGAAGACAAGUCAGAUGUGACAUCCCGCGGCUCAACCGCGGAACUGCAUUUGAAACUGUUUUUCUUGAGUACCGGAGAGGUCAUCGGAAUUCCUUGGGUAGCGGUGAAAUGCGUAGAUAUAAGGAAGAACACCAGUGGCGAAGGCGGAUGACUGGACGGCAACUGACGGUGAGGCGCGAAAGCGUGGGGAGCAAACAGGAUUAGAUACCCUUGUAGUC
RNAcentral lists this ribosomal RNA (440 nucleotides) under uncultured bacterium. RNAcentral's name for it is "partial 16S ribosomal RNA". It matches the Rfam family "Bacterial small subunit ribosomal RNA", at positions 338 to 795 of the family's 1533-position model. The record is from RNAcentral.